GACGAACGCUGGCGGCGUGCUUAACACAUGCAAGUCGAACGGUGAAGCGCCUUCCUUUUUGGUGGGUGUGGAUGAGUGGCGAACGGGUGAGUAACACGUGAGUAACCUGCCCCCUUCUUCUGGAUAACCGCAUGAAAGUGUGGCUAAUACGGGAUAUUCUGGGUCUGUCGCAUGAUGGGUCUGGGAAAGAUAUUGUUUCGGUGGGGGAUGGGCUCGCGGCCUAUCAGCUUGUUGGUGGGGUGAUGGCCUACCAAGGCGGUGACGGGUAGCCGGCCUGAGAGGGUGGACGGUCACACUGGGACUGAGACACGGCCCAGACUCCUACGGGAGGCAGCAGUGGGGAAUAUUGCACAAUGGGCGCAAGCCUGAUGCAGCGACGCCGCGUGAGGGAUGGAGGCCUUCGGGUUGUGAACCUCCUUCGCCAGUGAAGCAGGCCUGCCUCGUUUGUGGGUGGGUCGACGGUAGCUGGAGAAGAAGCGCCGGCUAACUACGUG
RNAcentral lists this ribosomal RNA (494 nucleotides) under uncultured bacterium. Its description in RNAcentral is "partial 16S ribosomal RNA". It matches the Rfam family "Bacterial small subunit ribosomal RNA", at positions 28 to 507 of the family's 1533-position model. The record is from RNAcentral.